Non-coding RNA from Sarcophilus harrisii (Tasmanian devil), 59 nucleotides. The record is from Rfam. NCBI's taxonomy places the organism in Eukaryota, Metazoa, Chordata, Mammalia, Dasyuromorphia, Dasyuridae.
UUAUGGACAAAAUGCUCUCUUUUGUGAAUUAGAUCAAAACGAGCUUCUUGUCCAUAGGG